CAUUAAGAAGCUAUGAAUCAACACUAGCCUUUUAAGCUAGAGAGAGAGGGACCCCCUCCCCUCCUUAAUGG
RNAcentral lists this transfer RNA (71 nucleotides) under Perdix hodgsoniae (Tibetan partridge). RNAcentral's name for it is "tRNA-Lys". Lineage: Eukaryota; Metazoa; Chordata; Aves; Galliformes; Phasianidae. The record is from RNAcentral.